GGGCAUGUGGUGUAGUUGGUUAUCACGCUCGCUUAGCAUUAAUGCUUACUUGCGAGAGGGGUCCGGUUCGAUCCCGGACAUGUCCA
RNAcentral lists this transfer RNA (86 nucleotides) under Wolfiporia cocos MD-104 SS10. RNAcentral's name for it is "tRNA-Ala". It matches the Rfam family "tRNA". From Rfam's summary of the family: Transfer RNA (tRNA) molecules are approximately 80 nucleotides in length. Their secondary structure includes four short double-helical elements and three loops (D, anti-codon, and T loops). The record is from RNAcentral. Lineage: Eukaryota; Fungi; Basidiomycota; Agaricomycetes; Polyporales; Phaeolaceae.